CAGUCGCCGCGGGAAUACGGAGGGUGCAAGCGUUAAUCGGAAUUACUGGGCGUAAAGCGCACGCAGGCGGUCUGACAAGUCAGAUGUGAAAUCCCCGGGCUUAACCUGGGAACUGCAUUUGAAACUGUCAGGCUGGAGUCUUGUAGAGGGGGGUAGAAUUCCAGGUGUAGCGGUGAAAUGCGUAGAGAUCUGGAGGAAUACCGGUGGCGAAGGCGGCCCCCUGGACAAAGACUGACGCUCAGGUGCGAAAGCGUGGGGAGCAAACAGGAUUAGAUACCCGAGUAGUCCCUGUCUCUUAUAC
This 301-nucleotide ribosomal RNA is filed under the name uncultured bacterium. Its description in RNAcentral is "partial 16S ribosomal RNA". It matches the Rfam family "Bacterial small subunit ribosomal RNA", at positions 509 to 807 of the family's 1533-position model. The record is from RNAcentral.